UCAGGUUAAGGUCAGGGUCAGGGCUGGGGUCAGGGUCAGGGUUAAGAUUAGGGUCAGGGUCAGGGUCGAGGUCAGGGUCAGGGUCAGGGUUGGGGUCAGGGUUUAGGGUUAGGGUCAAGGUCAGAGUCAGGAUUAGGAUCAGGGUCAGGGUCAGGGUCAAAGUCAAGGUCAGGGGUCAGGGUUGGGGUCAGGGUCACGGUUCAGAUUAGGGUCAGGGUCAGGGUUGGGGUCAGGGUCAAGGUCAAGGUCAGGGUCAGUUUUAGGGUCAGGGUCGGGGUCGGGGUCAGGGUCGGGGUUGGGGUCAGGGUCAGUUUUAGGGUCAUUUUUAGGGUCAGUUCCAGGGGGUGGGGGUGGAAGCGGCCGCACCGCGGCGAUGUCGACGGGCAGCCCGGCGCGCGCCGCCUCCAUGAUGGCGGCCACGGCUUUGGCGCGGCGCAGGAACUGCAUGGCGCCGCCCAGGUCCUGCAGCUGCUUGCGGCGCAGCGCCGCCUCCUGGAGCUGCAGCCGCCGCCCCGCCAGGAACUGCAGCUGCUGCUGGGCUGCGCCGGGCGGGCGGCCGUCAGAAUGGGGCACUGCAGCGCGGCCCUGCCAGGACCUGGCAGCUCCGCCACCCAACGCAACCCAAUACAACCCAAUACAACCCAAUACAACCCUGCCAGGACCUGGCAGCUCCGCCACCCAACACAGCCCAACGCAACCCAAUACAGCCCUGCCAGGACCUGGGAGCUCCUUCCAACCCAACGCAGCCCAACGCAGCCCUGCCAGGACCUGCCAUGUUCCCCCCCACUCCUCCCUCCUGGGACCUGGGAGCUCCUUCCAAUCCAACCCUUCCAAGACCUGUAGGAUCCU
This 849-nucleotide long non-coding RNA is filed under the name Phasianus colchicus (ring-necked pheasant). RNAcentral describes it as "lncRNA (ENSPCLG00000020217.1)". The record is from RNAcentral. Lineage: Eukaryota; Metazoa; Chordata; Aves; Galliformes; Phasianidae.